RNAcentral lists this ribosomal RNA (496 nucleotides) under uncultured bacterium. Its description in RNAcentral is "partial 16S ribosomal RNA". It matches the Rfam family "Bacterial small subunit ribosomal RNA", at positions 28 to 506 of the family's 1533-position model. The record is from RNAcentral.
GAUGAACGCUGGCGGCGUGCCUAAUACAUGCAAGUCGAGCGAACAGACGAGGAGCUUGCUCCUCUGACGUUAGCGGCGGACGGGUGAGUAACACGUGGAUAACCUACCUAUAAGACUGGGAUAACUUCGGGAAACCGGAGCUAAUACCGGAUAAUAUAUUGAACCGCAUGGUUCAAUAGUGAAAGACGGUUUUGCUGUCACUUAUAGAUGGAUCCGCGCCGCAUUAGCUAGUUGGUAAGGUAACGGCUUACCAAGGCAACGAUGCGUAGCCGACCUGAGAGGGGUAUCGGCCACACUGGAACGGAGACACGGUCCAGACUCCUACGGGAGGCAGCAGUAGGGAAUCUUCCGCAAUGGGCGAAAGCCUGACGGAGCAACGCCGCGUGAGUGAUGAAGGUCUUCGGAUCGUAAAACUCUGUUAUUAGGGAAGAACAAAUGUGUAAGUAACUAUGCACGUCUUGACGGUACCUAAUCAGAAAGCCACGGCUAACUACGU